Molecule: non-coding RNA, 93 nt
Organism: Cladorrhinum sp. PSN332
Lineage: Eukaryota; Fungi; Ascomycota; Sordariomycetes; Sordariales; Podosporaceae
Source: the annotation of a GenBank genome assembly
UCCCAUAUAGUGUAGUGGUUUAGCAUACCAGAUUUUCAGGAUUCAUCAAACUCCAGUCUUCUGGCGACCCGGGUUCGAACCCCGGUAUGGGAA